RNAcentral lists this long non-coding RNA (913 nucleotides) under Junco hyemalis (dark-eyed junco). Its description in RNAcentral is "lncRNA (ENSJHYG00000006428.1)". Lineage: Eukaryota; Metazoa; Chordata; Aves; Passeriformes; Passerellidae. The record is from RNAcentral.
CUUUUGUCCAGUUUAUGGCCCCUCUGGGGGAUGUCACAGGGUGCCACACACAGCGCUGGCACAAUGAGGGGCAGGGGGAAAGCAGCAGCGCCCAGGAGCUGGCAGGAGGAGCUCAGCACUGUUACCUGUGCAGGGCGGUUCUGCGCUUGCCACUCCUCUGGGCGAGGGUGAAGGGCAGCUCCCUCACCUCCUCCCGAUAUCUGCCCACUGCUAGGCACAGGCAGCUCCCUCCCAAGGCAGGCACGAGUGCCACACGGAAGUCACAGCACCUCUCGGUGCACAUGAGACCUCUGAGACCUCGGGCCAAGGAGCUGGGGAAGGAAACCGCAGCCUGAGAGAGCCCAGGAGGCUCCAGCCCAUCCUGCACGCCAGCCCUCUCCUUAGGGAUCUGCCCUGAGGGGCACCGAGGAAGGCUCUCCACUUCACCAUGCAGGAUGAAAUUCUGCUGACUCCCUGCAGGGAAUCCCCUGCUGAGGACACAGACUCCUUUGCCUCCCCGAAUGAAGAGAAGUGGGAUUUUGUCCUGGUGAGUGACAUCCACGAAAUGGGCAGUGAGAAGGAGAUCAAGAGAAAGAAGUUCCUGGAUGAGCUGAGCAAGAAGGGUUUCACCAUCAAGAAAAUCGAGGACACAAAGCUCUUUUAUGGAGUCCGUGCCCCGCCGCACAUCUUCUGGAAAUACCAGCGUCUCCUGACGAACCCCAACAGCAGGCAGCAAAACUCCAGUGCCUACCAGGACGUCCCAAUGACCACCAGGAUACGGGUCGUGCAUUUCAUCCUGCAGAACACUGUGACAUCCGACUUAGGUAAGGGAACGGGGAUCACAGGGGUGAUGCUGCUCAGCCUGGAUCUGCAGGAAGAAUUCUGCCCAAUCCUGGGCACUGGCAUCCCAGCUGCCUUGCCAUCCUGGGGGGAG